GCGCCCGUAGCUCAGCUGGAUAGAGCGCCUGACUUCGAAUCAGUAGGCCGGGGGUUCGAGUCCCUCCGGGCGCACCA
This 77-nucleotide transfer RNA is filed under the name Acidobacteriota bacterium. RNAcentral's name for it is "tRNA-Arg". It matches the Rfam family "tRNA". Rfam says of the family: Transfer RNA (tRNA) molecules are approximately 80 nucleotides in length. Their secondary structure includes four short double-helical elements and three loops (D, anti-codon, and T loops). The record is from RNAcentral. Lineage: Bacteria; Pseudomonadati; Acidobacteriota. RNAcentral also lists the same sequence under 1 other name.